Molecule: ribosomal RNA, 426 nt
Filed under: uncultured bacterium
Lineage: Bacteria
Description: partial 16S ribosomal RNA
Rfam family: Bacterial small subunit ribosomal RNA
Source: RNAcentral
GUGAGGAAUUUUCCGCAAUGGGCGAAAGCCUGACGGAGCAAUGCCGCGUGAAGGAUGAAGGCCUAUGGGUUGUAAACUUCUUUUCUCAGAAAAGAAUUAUGACGGUAUCUGAGGAAUAAGCAUCGGCUAACUCUGUGCCAGCAGCCGCGGUAAGACAGAGGAUGCAAGCGUUAUCCGGAAUGAUUGGGCGUAAAGCGUCUGUAGGUUGUUUAAAAAGUAUUCUGUCAAAGAUUAGGGCUUAACCCUAGAUAGGCAGAAUAAACUUUUAAGCUAGAGUUUGGUAGAGGCAGAGGGAAUUCCCGGUGGAGUGGUGAAAUGCGUAGAUAUCGGGAGGAACACCAAAGGCGAAGGCACUCUGCUGGGCCAAUACUAACACUGAGAGACGAAAGCGAGGGGAGCAAAUGGGAUUAGAUACCCUGGUAGUCC